UUCGUCCAAUUGAAGCAGAGGACAGUGGCGGACGGGUGAGUAACGCGUGAGGAACCUGCCUUUCAGAGGGGGACAACAGUUGGAAACGACUGCUAAUACCGCAUGACACAUAGGUGUCGCAUGGCACUUAUGUCAAAGAUUUAUCGCUGAAAGAUGGCCUCGCGUCCCAUUAGCUAGUAGGCGGGGUAACGGCCCACCUAGGCGACGAUCAGUAGCCGGACUGAGAGGUUGAACGGCCACAUUGGGACUGAGAUACGGCCCAGACUCC
Molecule: ribosomal RNA, 268 nt
Filed under: uncultured Oscillibacter sp.
Lineage: Bacteria; Bacillati; Bacillota; Clostridia; Eubacteriales; Oscillospiraceae
Description: partial 16S ribosomal RNA
Rfam family: Bacterial small subunit ribosomal RNA
Source: RNAcentral